AUUGAACGCUGGCGGCAGGCCUAACACAUGCAAGUCGAACGGUAACAGGAAACAGCUUGCUGUUUCGCUGACGAGUGGCGGACGGGUGAGUAAUGUCUGGGAAACUGCCUGAUGGAGGGGGAUAACUACUGGAAACGGUAUCUAAUACCGCAUAACGUCUCAAGACCAAAGAGGGGGACCCUCGGGCCUCUUGCCAUCGGAUGUGCCCAGAUGGGAUUAGCUUGUUGGUGGGGUAUCGGCUCACCAAGUCGACGAUCCCUAGCUGGUCUGAGAGGAUGACAGGCCGCACUUGAACUGAGUAACGAGCCAGAGUCCUACGGGAGGCAGCAGGGGGGAAUAUUGCACAAUGGGGGAAAGCCUGAUGCAGCCAUGCCGCGUGUAUGAAGAAAGCCUUCGGGUUGUAAAGUACUUUCAGCGGGGAGGAAGGGAGUAAAGUUAAAACCCGGGCUCAUUGACGUGACCCGCAGAAGAAGCACCGGCUAACUCCGU
This 489-nucleotide ribosomal RNA is filed under the name uncultured bacterium. Its description in RNAcentral is "partial 16S ribosomal RNA". It matches the Rfam family "Bacterial small subunit ribosomal RNA", at positions 30 to 506 of the family's 1533-position model. The record is from RNAcentral.